GGAAAAUCGUGUUGAGGCGGCGGCCACUGACGCGGGCGCGUAAAAUAAUCCCGUUCUGAUUAAGCGAUCAAGGAGCUGGAGAGAGGAGAAGCUGCCCUGUGGUUAAGCAGCAGCACUGGAGGCCAAAGGAUGACCGAAUCUGAUUCCAGUCUCUUCCACAGACUUCCUUCAUGAUUUCGAGCCGUCGCACCCCAGCUGUGAGCCGAGGAGGAUCCACUUCUUUUCCCUCAUCCGAGUCUGGAGCUCUUGUUGUGCUUGCAGGGCACCAGACGGGGUCUCAGUAUUAGAUGGAGCUUUGGGGCUCUGCCAUUAAAAAGUCA
This 320-nucleotide long non-coding RNA is filed under the name Gallus gallus (chicken). The record is from RNAcentral. Lineage: Eukaryota; Metazoa; Chordata; Aves; Galliformes; Phasianidae.